Molecule: ribosomal RNA, 920 nt
Filed under: Lobarina scrobiculata
Lineage: Eukaryota; Fungi; Ascomycota; Lecanoromycetes; Peltigerales; Lobariaceae
Description: SSU rRNA
Rfam family: Bacterial small subunit ribosomal RNA (bases 114-920)
Source: RNAcentral
AUAGCCUAACGGCUGAACCAGCAACUUGGAGGAAUGAAAAGCAAUAGCUGAUUGCAUUAUAUUAAAUUUUAAAGGGUGGUCCCUUGCCUAAUUAAAAACUUUAAACCCUUUUAAAUAAGUAGGGUCCCUUCCUUAUUUAAUACAAAAUGAGACCUCAUCAUUGCAAUGUAGUUACUACUUGGUAGUUUAAAUUUCUGGGUAGAAUUAUGAUGAUGACAUUAUCUAUCUAUAAGUCUUGACCAAAUUACGUGCCAGCAGUCGCGGUAAUACGUAGAAGACAAGUGUUAUUCAUCUUUAUUAGGUUUAAAGAGUACCAAGACGGUAAAUCAUUAAUAAAGCCUAUAAUACGUGAACACAGGGGGACACAUUAACUAGAGUUAUAUGAAAGGAAGCACUAAGGUACUGUUGAGUGUAGAGAUAAAAUUCGAUCAUACCAGAUGAAAGGCACAGAUUUAUGCGAAGGCAUCUUCUUAUGUAAUAACUGACGUUGUAGGACGAAGGCUUUUGAAGUGAAGAGGAUUAGAUACCCUUGUAAUCCAGGCAGAAAAUGAUGAAUGUCAUAGGUUUAAUAAAAAUUAAUACAGCAGUAUCUAUUAUAUUAUUGAGUCUAUAAAUGAAAGUGUAAGCAUUCCACCUCAAGAGUAAUUUGGCAACAUUGGAACUGAAAUCAUUAGACCGUUUCUGAAACCAGUAGUGAAGUAUGUUGUUUAAUUAGAUGAUACGCAAAAAACCUUACCACAAUUUGAAUAUAUAUCUUUAAAGAUAUUUACAAGCGUUGCACGGCUGUCUUCAGUUAAUGUCGUGAGAUUUUGGUUAGUUCCAUAAAAUUAACGUAAACCCUCGUUUUAUUUUUAAAUAAAAUUUAGAUCUGUUUCCGAUAGAUUUGAGCAUAAGAAAAGGGACUAAGACAAGUCGUCAUG